CAUGUGGGGGCACCUGCACGGGUGUGAAUGUGUGUGUGCAGCUGCCUUGUGGACAGGCCGCAUCAGGAGCAGGAAGUCAGCACUCAGUGGCAUCGGCCGAGGAGACAGGACGGAGAGAGGCGACAGCAGGACCUGCAGGGUUCAGCCGGUGCCCAACGCUACCUCGUCCUGCCCUGGUUGCUUGAUGAGCCCAUCAGUUCCCCUUUGGGCCUCACCUGGGUUGGUUUGAGUUUCUGUCCCUGGCACCCAGGAGACCUGUCUGGGACAAAGCUGUGUUCGCCCUGCCUGGGCAUCUCUCACGGUCACCUGUGUCUGUGAAGGAGGCUGGGAUAUGAGAUCUUUGGCUGGACAGACAUUGCUCAGAGGAAACUGUGUUUCUAUAGAAAGAGGAGAGAAUGGAAAUCAACAGGACAGCUAGCCAUUCUGUCACCCCACAUGCAGGGCUUGACAAUCCAGCUCCUGCUGGCGCGGCUGCCUCCCCGUGGAGCCCGGGCAUCCCUGCAGCCAGUUCGCCUGGUGCCUCCUGGCCUGUGUCCAUAGGGAGCCGGCCCUCUUCCUGGAGCACGUUCCGGCUCACACGAAUCUGCACAAACCCUGGUCAUCCUUCAGAGUCAGCCGAAGCACCCGCAGCGCAGGCAGCGGCCAAAUGCCCUCACUGGAGAUGCCCACUUCCUGCUCUUGGCUCCUGACAAAGCUUCUCCUUCCUCUGCUCUCGCACAGUGGAACUUCGUGUGAACUUAAAGCAUCCCUUUCAAAGAAAGGGGCUGGAUCCUCAGAUAAGGAGAUUGAGACCCAAAGACGGGCAGUCGCUUGCCCAAGGCCAUGUGGCUGUUAGUGUUGCAGUCCAAAUUUGAAGCCAGGAACACCUGCUUUCAGAGGAAGCUUCUGACAAAAUACAGCAGACUGCCAUGCCACCCUGUGUGUCCCCCAGAGAUGCCACUUCCCCCAGCCUGUAUGAGCUGCCCUGAUCAUUACUGCAAAUGGCUGGAUUCGUCUUUGUCAAGUUUGCACUUUCCCCCAAGUUUGAAUUAACCUCGACAUUAAUUUGCUGAUGAAGCGCCUGCGGUAGGUCAUAUAGCGUGAGCACCUGUGAUUUCCGCGGAAAUUAUUGUAAUGUGCUAAAUGGGAGAUUUAAAGGUUACUUGUUCCCCUGCAAUCUAUGAACUGUUAUAUGAAAAAGUCAUAACUGAAAUAAUUGAAGUGUCAGAAAGAAAAAAAAGGAUAAGAAAUCUAAUCAACAAUUCUUAUCCCUUACCUAU
This is a long non-coding RNA of Sapajus apella (tufted capuchin), 1259 nucleotides long. RefSeq lists it as uncharacterized. The record is from RefSeq and is a predicted model, not a curated record. NCBI's taxonomy places the organism in Eukaryota, Metazoa, Chordata, Mammalia, Primates, Cebidae. The transcript has 2 exons.